Lactuca sativa (garden lettuce) is the source of this 731-nucleotide long non-coding RNA. RefSeq lists it as uncharacterized. Lineage: Eukaryota; Viridiplantae; Streptophyta; Magnoliopsida; Asterales; Asteraceae. The record is from RefSeq and is a predicted model, not a curated record.
UUAACAUACUUUAUGCAUUAAAUGUUAUGUUAUUAAAUAUAUCCCUUAAAUUCAACAUUAGAAAUUUUAUUUUGCGACACGUGGCACAAUUUUGUUCACAAAAUUUUCAGCUUCCACACUCGUAAAGUAGUAGCAGGGAUUCGUUGUUCGUUGACGUCUGCGAAUAAGAGCAUCUCCAUUCUCCAAUAGCCAUUGAAGAGUCAUCCGAUGAUCUUCGCUUUCUCAAUCUGAAUGACUCCAAUUACUCCGAAGAUGAAGAAGAACUAUGAUGCCCUAUCAGUGAGGAUGAAGGAUAAGGUGAGAAAAGCCACAAGAAAGGCAACAUCAUCUUCAUCAAAAGAAAUUGAUUUUAUCGGAUGAAAUGAUUAACGAAAUUUCUGGCAACAUAAACUUGUUAUGUUCAUACAUAUAAUAUAUAAUGAGCAUUUGGAAUUCGAAAAAGGAAGUGCGAAGAAUAAAAAUUAGAGCACCAAAAAUGAAGAAGAGAAGCCAAGGGACUGGGGGUUAAAACAUUUAAUCGCUGAACAAAGGAUCGAAGAAGCUCAGAUGGCGAUCCCACUAAUGCAAUUGAAAAUUUAAGGGUAAUACUAAUGGUGAGUUCCUUUGAAUACAUGUUAAAUUAAUAUAUUACAAUAUAGUACUGAUUUUGUAAAAUAUUAUUAUUUACAUUAUAUCCGUAAUUCAUAAAAUUAUAAAAUAUUGAAAGGUAAGGAAUAAUAUUUCUUGUCUUA